AGGCUGCAACUCGCCUACACGAAGUCGGAAUCGCUAGUAAUCGCGGAUCAGCAUGCCGCGGUGAAUACGUUCCCGGGCCGUUGUACACACCGCCCGUCACACCAUGGGAGUUUGUAACGCCCAAAGUCGGUGGCCUAACCUUCAUGGAGGGAGCCGCCUAAGGCGGGACAGAUGAUGGGGUGAAGUCGUAACAAGGUAUC
Molecule: ribosomal RNA, 200 nt
Filed under: uncultured bacterium
Lineage: Bacteria
Description: partial 16S ribosomal RNA
Rfam family: Bacterial small subunit ribosomal RNA
Source: RNAcentral